This 417-nucleotide ribosomal RNA is filed under the name uncultured microorganism. Its description in RNAcentral is "bacterial SSU rRNA". It matches the Rfam family "Archaeal small subunit ribosomal RNA", at positions 330 to 745 of the family's 1478-position model. The record is from RNAcentral.
GUGCAGCAGGCGCGAAAACUUCACACUGCGCGAAAGCGCGAUGAGGGAAUCCCAAGUGCUUGCACGUAAGUGUAAGCUGUUUCUCUGUCUAAAAAGCAGAGAGAGUAAGGGCUGGGUAAGACGGGUGCCAGCCGCCGCGGUAAUACCUGCAGCUCAAGUGGUGGCCGCUAUUAUUGGGCCUAAAACGUCCGUAGCCGGUCUAGUAAGUGCCUGGGUAAAUCGUGAGGCUUAACCUUACGAACUCCGGGUAGACUGCUAGACUUGAGACCGGGAGAGGCUAGAGGUACUCCUGGGGGUAGAGGUGAAAUUCUGUAAUCCUAGGGGGACCGACCAGUGGCGAAGGCGGUCUAGCUAGAACGGGUCUGACGGUGAGGGACGAAGCCCUGGGGCGCAAACCGGAUUAGAUACCCGGGUAGU